This 72-nucleotide transfer RNA is filed under the name Pangasianodon hypophthalmus (striped catfish). RNAcentral's name for it is "tRNA-Leu". It matches the Rfam family "tRNA". Rfam says of the family: Transfer RNA (tRNA) molecules are approximately 80 nucleotides in length. Their secondary structure includes four short double-helical elements and three loops (D, anti-codon, and T loops). Lineage: Eukaryota; Metazoa; Chordata; Actinopteri; Siluriformes; Pangasiidae. The record is from RNAcentral.
UCCCUGGAGGACUAGUGGUUAGGCCACAGCUCUCUAACCACUGCGGCCCGGGCUCGACUCCCGGCCGGGGAA